This 892-nucleotide ribosomal RNA is filed under the name uncultured bacterium. RNAcentral's name for it is "bacterial SSU rRNA". It matches the Rfam family "Bacterial small subunit ribosomal RNA", at positions 505 to 1397 of the family's 1533-position model. The record is from RNAcentral.
GUGCCAGCCGCCGCGGUAAUACGUAGGUGGCAAGCGUUGUCCGGAUUUAUUGGGCGUAAAGCGAGCGCAGGCGGUUUCUUAAGUCUGAUGUGAAAGCCUUCGGCUCAACCGAAGAAGUGCAUCGGAAACUGGGAAACUUGAGUGCAGAAGAGGACAGUGGAACUCCAUGUGUAGCGGUGAAAUGCGUAGAUAUAUGGAAGAACACCAGUGGCGAAGGCGGCUGUCUGGUCUGUAACUGACGCUGAGGCUCGAAAGCAUGGGUAGCAAACAGGAUUAGAUACCCUGGUAGUCCAUGCCGUAAACGAUGAGUGCUAGGUGUUGGAGAGUUUCCGCCCUUCAGUGCCGCAGCUAACGCAUUAAGCACUCCGCCUGGGGAGUACGACCGCAAGGUUGAAACUCAAAGGAAUUGACGGGGGCCCGCACAAGCGGUGGAGCAUGUGGUUUAAUUCGAAGCAACGCGAAGAACCUUACCAGGUCUUGACAUCCUUUGACCACUCUAGAGAUAGAGCUUUCCCUUCGGGGACAAAGUGACAGGUGGUGCAUGGUUGUCGUCAGCUCGUGUCGUGAGAUGUUGGGUUAAGUCCCGCAACGAGCGCAACCCUUAUUACUAGUUGCCAGCAUUUAGUUGGGCACUCUAGUGAGACUGCCGGUGACAAACCGGAGGAAGGUGGGGACGACGUCAAAUCAUCAUGCCCCUUAUGACCUGGGCUACACACGUGCUACAAUGGAUGGUACAACGAGUUGCGAGACCGCGAGGUUUAGCUAAUCUCUUAAAACCAUUCUCAGUUCGGAUUGUAGGCUGCAACUCGCCUACAUGAAGCCGGAAUCGCUAGUAAUCGCGGAUCAGCAUGCCGCGGUGAAUACGUUCCCGGGCCUUGUACACACCGCCCGU